Molecule: long non-coding RNA, 834 nt
Organism: Saccoglossus kowalevskii
Lineage: Eukaryota; Metazoa; Hemichordata; Enteropneusta; Harrimaniidae
Source: RefSeq, a predicted model, not a curated record
GGAACAGGAGAGUGAGGAACAUCUCUUACUAGACAAUGUACCAAUAAAAGACACUUCUUGUUUUGGUGAAACGAUCAAUGUAGAAUGUGAUGGUAGAGAGAUGUAUUGGAUGGAGCCUAUUCAACAUGGAGACGCUGAAACUAUGAAGCGUUCGUGUUCCUGGUGGCUUUAUUGUGAAUAUACCUACCUAGGUGGUGGAUGGUGGUGGAAAGAGUGUUGGUAUAUCUUGUUGUGUUAGAUUGGUCUACUGACAUUCACCGUGAUUGUCGAAUUUGAAGCUUGCUCAUAUUCAUAUCUAUAUAUACAAUGUUUUCUGCUUUGAUAGUAUUCUCAAUGCUGUUUCCAUGUUAGUCGAGAAGAUUCACGUGUAUGUACGAGUUUGUAUAUGCAUAGCAAUGGGUAGGUUGAUUUACUGUAGAGAAUGAUUAAGUCACUGGCAAAGAACGCCGCUGAGCACGGCUCGGACAAAAUUCGUAUACAAUAAUUUUGAAAAUUCGACAUGCUUCUAUGAAAUUUGAUGUUUAUAAUUAAUUCUUAUUACUUUUAUUAGUUAACAGAAAUUAUUUUGUUAAAUAAUUUAGAAUGCUACAUUCAUUCACGUACUGUGAAAUAUAAAUCUUUACAAAGCUAAAUUGAUGUUAGAAUUCAAAUUAGUCAAUCUGGCAAUGGUAUUGUGACAUCAACGUUCCUUCUUAUUUUGUACAUGUUCGUAGACAAUAUUUAGUCAAUUGAAUAUUUGAAUUUAAAUGAAACUGGGGACCGCUUUUUACAAAAUUAUGUUUAUGUUUAUUAGCGUUGUGCUUUUUACUGUAAACGGAUUCAUCAAUAAACUUA